UACGUAGGGAGCGAGCGUUGUCCGGAUUCAUUGGGCGUAAAGAGCUCGUAGGCGGCUUGGCAAGUCGGGUGUGAAAACUCCAGGCUCAACCUGGAGACGCCACCCGAUACUGCCAUGGCUAGAGUCCGGUAGGGGACCACGGAAUUCCUGGUGUAGCGGUGAAAUGCGCAGAUAUCAGGAGGAACACCGGUGGCGAAGGCGGUGGUCUGGGCCGGUACUGACGCUGAGGAGCGAAAGCGUGGGGAGCGAACAGG
This 254-nucleotide ribosomal RNA is filed under the name uncultured bacterium. Its description in RNAcentral is "partial 16S ribosomal RNA". It matches the Rfam family "Bacterial small subunit ribosomal RNA", at positions 524 to 776 of the family's 1533-position model. The record is from RNAcentral.